UUAGAGUUGAUCCUGGCUCAGGGUGAAUGCUAGCGGCGCGCUUAAUGCAUGCAAGUCGAGCGAUGAGGUCUCCUUCGGGGGACACAUCAGCGGCAGACGGGUGAGUAACACGUAGGUAACCUACCCCAGAGACAGGGAUAACCCUAGGAAACGAGGGCUAAUACCGGAUGACCUCCGGAAGGAGGAAAGGCUCAGGCGCUCUGGGAGGGGCUUGCGGCCCAUCAGCUAGUUGGUAGGGUAAAGGCCUACCAAGGCGAAGACGGGUAGGGGGUGUGAGAGCACGGCCCCCCACAAUGGGACUGAAACACGGCCCAUACUCCUACGGGAGGCAGCAGCAGGGAAUAUUGCACAAUAGGCGAAAGCCUGAUGCAGCGACGCCGCGUGAGUGAAGAAGGCCUUCGGGUCGUAAAGCUCUUUUGUAGGGGAAGAGGAAGGACGGUACCCUAAGAAGAAGCGUCGGCUAACUACGUGCCAGCAGCCGCGGUAAGACGUAGGACUCGAGCGUUAUCCGGAAUUACUGGGCGUAAAGGGCCAGCAGGCGGCUUGGUAAGUUGUGCGUGAAAGCCUCGUGCUCAACGCGAGGAAGCCGGACAAUACUGUCAAGCUAGAGGGCAUCAGAGGGGAGUGGAAUUCCCGGAGUAGCGGUAAAAUGCGCAGAUAUCGGGAGGAACACCGAUGGCGAAGGCAGCUCCCUGGGAUGCACCUGACGCUAAGAGGCGAAAGCCUAGGGGAGCGAACAGGAUUAGAGACCCUGGUAGUCCUAGCUGUAAACGCUGGGUG
RNAcentral lists this ribosomal RNA (780 nucleotides) under uncultured organism. RNAcentral's name for it is "bacterial SSU rRNA". It matches the Rfam family "Bacterial small subunit ribosomal RNA", at positions 1 to 815 of the family's 1533-position model. The record is from RNAcentral.